CACAGUCAUACAUGUUAUCGUCAUCUCAUGUAAGUUCACGGACUACUGUGCGUCACAGUCAUACAUGUUAUCGUCGUCAUAUAUCAUUUCAUGGGUGUGAGGUGAAAGCAAGAGCGGCCGAUCCUAUUUGGUGUAAAGAGUAUCAUUGUCAUCUUCAUUGUGUAUUUGUGAUAUCGGGACUUAAAAAGAAUAAAUGUUGUUUUAAUUUUCCACAAGUCUGAAGGCUGCUUUUUUAAAGAUACUUCUUGAUAAGUUCUUGUACACGUUAUGUAUCAUUGGCUCUGACUUUGAAAAGGUUGAUUUUCUACAGAAAUGUUCUUAAAAAAGUAUGAAAUGAAGAUAGGUCCCUGAAUGCCAUACACAUAUGUCCAUGAGUGCUUCAAGUUGUCUUGAACCGAUGCUUCUUGUGCCAUUUCGACUUUUGGACACUCUGCUAUAGUAGGUCUCCCUUUCAGCACUAUAAACUGCCAGAUGGACACCAUGGUCUUGGUUUGUGAGGCGGAUUUCUGGAAUAUUUCUCUUCUUCAAAUUUUCUUGCCCUCCGCAAUAUGAAAAUAUAAUGAAAACCUUUAGCUAUUGCUGUAGCAUUUAGGUCACUUUUGGUGGCUGUCAAUAUGAAAUUCUUACAGGUAUUGGGGAGAAUGAAAUUAACUUGUGCUUCUGUUUGACAGCCGUACGGUAUGAGAAUUAUGAUACUGAAUAAAUGCUUUACUUUUUUAAUCA
Molecule: long non-coding RNA, 723 nt
Organism: Aplysia californica (California sea hare)
Lineage: Eukaryota; Metazoa; Mollusca; Gastropoda; Aplysiida; Aplysiidae
Exons: 2
Source: RefSeq, a predicted model, not a curated record